This 253-nucleotide ribosomal RNA is filed under the name uncultured bacterium. RNAcentral describes it as "partial 16S ribosomal RNA". It matches the Rfam family "Bacterial small subunit ribosomal RNA", at positions 524 to 776 of the family's 1533-position model. The record is from RNAcentral.
UACGGAGGAUCCAAGCGUUAUCCGGAAUCAUUGGGUUUAAAGGGUCCGUAGGCGGUUUUGUAAGUCAGUGGUGAAAGCCCAUCGCUCAACGGUGGAACGGCCAUUGAUACUGCAAGACUUGAAUUGUUAGGAAGUAACUAGAAUAUGUAGUGUAGCGGUGAAAUGCUUAGAGAUUACAUGGAAUACCAAUUGCGAAGGCAGGUUACUACUAAUAUAUUGACGCUGAUGGACGAAAGCGUGGGGAGCGAACAGG